Molecule: ribosomal RNA, 249 nt
Filed under: uncultured bacterium
Lineage: Bacteria
Description: partial 16S ribosomal RNA
Rfam family: Bacterial small subunit ribosomal RNA
Source: RNAcentral
GCAAGUCGAGGGAGAAGAUAGUCUUCGGAUUAUUGGAAACCGGCGCACGGGUGCGUAACACGUAUACAACUUACCCCUGAAAAGAGAAUAGCCCAGGGAAACUUGGAUUAAUGCUCUAUAGUUUUACGAGACCGCAUGGUCAUGUAAAUAAAGCUCCGGCGUUCAGGGAUGGGUAUGCGUCUGAUUAGUUUGUUGGUGAGGUAACGGCUCACCAAGACUACGAUCAGUAACUGGUCUGAGAGGAUGAUC